RNAcentral lists this ribosomal RNA (253 nucleotides) under uncultured bacterium. RNAcentral's name for it is "partial 16S ribosomal RNA". It matches the Rfam family "Bacterial small subunit ribosomal RNA", at positions 524 to 776 of the family's 1533-position model. The record is from RNAcentral.
UACAUGGGGUGCAAACGUUGUUCGGAUUUACUGGGCGUAAAGCGUGUGUAGGCGGCUUGGCAAGUUGGAUGUGAAAGCCCACGGCUCAACCGUGGAAGCGCAUCCAAAACUGCUUCGCUCGAGUCUCGGAGAGGAAGGUGGAAUGCUUGGUGUAGAGGUGAAAUUCGUAGAUAUCAAGCAGAACACCUGCGGCGAAGGCGGCCUUCUGGACGAUGACUGACGCUGAGACACGAAAGCGUGGGGAGCAAACAGG